GCGUAAUUGGUUUAGUGGUAAAAUUCUCCGUUGCCAUCGGGGAGCCCUGGGUUCGAUUCCCAGAUUACGCA
Non-coding RNA from Fusarium poae, 71 nucleotides. The record is from Rfam. NCBI's taxonomy places the organism in Eukaryota, Fungi, Ascomycota, Sordariomycetes, Hypocreales, Nectriaceae.